Molecule: ribosomal RNA, 253 nt
Filed under: uncultured bacterium
Lineage: Bacteria
Description: partial 16S ribosomal RNA
Rfam family: Bacterial small subunit ribosomal RNA
Source: RNAcentral
UACAGAGGUCCCGAGCGUCGUUCGGAUUCACUGGGCGUAAAGGGUGCGUAGGUGGCGGGGCAAGUUUGAUGUGAAAGCUCAGGGCUUAACCCUGAAAUGGCAUUGAAUACUGCUUUGCUGGAGGUUUGGAGGGGGGACUGGAAUUCUUGGCGUAGCAGUGAAAUGCGUAGAUAUCAAGAGGAACACCAGCGGCGAAGGCGAGUCCCUGGACAACACCUGACACUGAGGCACGAAAGCUAGGGGAGCAAACAGG